CACCAAAAAACCAAGUCAUAUUAAUAUGGUAAAAAGACAGUUAAGCAGUAAUUUCUUAGUUUCUUGAUUAUUUAUAAAAAAGUAAAAUUUGAAUAUAAAUAUAAUAAUCUAAUAGAAACUUUAUAGCUGAAUCUGUGAUAGCUUUGAGGGAAACUGGGAUUGGAUACCCCAUUAUUCUUAGUUGUAAAUCCAAUUAAGUAGUUUACCAGAGUACUAUGAAUAAAAAAAUUUAAAACUCAAAGGGCUUGGCGGUGUUUUAGACCACUCAGGGGAACCUGUCUCGUAAUCGACAGUCCACGUUAAACCUAACCUUCCUUUGCAACCAGUUUGUAUACCGUCGUCGUCAGGCAACUUCUAAAAAAUUAAGAGUUGGCUAAAGAAUUUACAUAAAUUAAAACGUCAGAUCAGGGUGCAACCUAUAGGAAGGCGGGGAUGGGUUACAGUUAUUAAAUUAUAACUACGGAAAGUCAUGAGAAUAAAUGACUUGAAGGAGGACUUGAAAGUAAUUUUAAUUAUAUAAGAAUUUUGAAUAAGGCUCUGAAACGUGC
Molecule: ribosomal RNA, 548 nt
Filed under: Bathytoma neocaledonica
Lineage: Eukaryota; Metazoa; Mollusca; Gastropoda; Neogastropoda; Conidae
Description: partial 12S ribosomal RNA
Source: RNAcentral